This is a non-coding RNA of Rattus norvegicus (Norway rat), 5532 nucleotides long. NCBI's taxonomy places the organism in Eukaryota, Metazoa, Chordata, Mammalia, Rodentia, Muridae. The record is from RefSeq and is a predicted model, not a curated record.
CUGAAAUCAGGACCUACUCCCUGUCUGCAUGGUCCCAGACUGCAUCCACUGGGUCUGGAGAUGGCAGGAGAGAUAGCUGAGACAUGAGUUGGGACAAGUCCAGUAGGGUUGGGAAUACAGGAUGGCUUGUGGGUGGAGCAUCUGGAGGUGGGCAGCACCAAGCAGGAGGGUUUGGGCUCCUAUCUCAGUGUCUGCACUGGUCAUUGACACUUUCCAGUAGACACAGGCUCCUCUGAGGGUGCGUGUAGCAUGUAGUAUCUAUGGUGCUGUGUUCCUCUUCCCCUUCUGCCUGCAGGCAAGAGAAGGAAAGAGGGAGCACGUAGGGAUCACUAAGGACAAUCCAGGCAGCCGACUCUGAGAGUCCAACUAACAGAUGUGCUAACCGGGCGUCCUGGUAAGUUUUAGAAAAUGCAGAUGCCACUAAAUUCUCCAGCUAUGACCUUUGUAGAACAGACCAGCAAGAAAUCUGCUUUCAGAGUCUUCUGGGGACAGCAGGAAUGAGGAAGAGGGGAGAGUAUCUCCUCUCCAGGUACCUGGUGAUGCUGGACCUCUCCGGCUGUGCCAGGAGCAUGCAUGAAAAGCAGAGUCCUUCACAGGCACGUAAAGGAUUGGUCAGCAGCCAGGAAACGUGGGUUCUAGAAUCUGACUUCAGCAACUGAGAUGUCUAAUGUGGAUCUACAUACCAGCUUUGGAUGCAUGGAUUCAGAUUGAACUUAGGGUAUCUUCCAUGCUAAGCAAAUGUUUGGCCACUGAAUACACCUCCAGCCAACAAGCACAUCCUGGAUAGAUGGAUGAGUAGAUGAGUAUGGAGUGGAUCCAAUACUAGACAGCAAACCCGAGUCCUCGUGUGUGAGCCUCCUCCAUUUCCUAAAGCCCUUGCCCUCAAGAGUACAUGGGCCUUGUAAUAGUCUUUCUUUUGGGGAGGGGAGGUGUUCGAGACAGGAUUUCUCUACAUAGCCUUGGCCACCCUAGAGCUUGUUCUGAAGACUAGACUGGCCUUGAACUCACAGAGACCUGCUUGGAAUUAAAGUGCUGGAAUUAAAGGCCUGCACCACCACCAUCACCUUGCUCGGCCUUAUAAUAUUCUUGCUCAGUCCAGUGACAAGGAAGUACCAGACCGCUCCAAAUGGUGGGACUCUCUCCAGAAUAACCCCUGCAGCUGAACGAGAACAUUGGUCAUGGCAGAACAGAGAAUGCCACGUGACAACAGCCCUGAUUAAAAUGGCAUGACAACUAAAUGACCACAGACAAGAGACAAACGGACAGAAAGUGCACUCUUGGGACAACUGCUGAAUACAGGACACACAGAUGAGUCAAUGGUAAUGUCGAUGUUGUAGUUGCAGUUACUGGCUUCAGUCACUGCCGCAAACAGCCUUGCCAAGCCUGUUAGCACAGCUCUCUGCAGGCAGAGGCAGGAGCAUAAGAGUUCAAGGACAACUUGGGCUACAUAGCAACAGCUGUCUAAAAAUUGCAUACGCACGUACAUACACACACACAAACACACAUUUUAGAAACUAUUUUAAGCACUAAAGUAUCCAAGGUGUAAAAUAUAUGACAUAUAAAUGUAUAUGAGUGUGAGAUACACAGAGAGAAUGAUUGAUACUUUAAAUAUGGCAAAAUGAUAAUGAUUGAUUAGCCUGAGUGAGAGCCAGCUUUUCUACUACUUGAAAUUAUUUUUAAAUUAUAUUAAAUUUAAAUAAGCUGCGUGUGAAUAUGUAACAAAAUUCAAAACGUAGAAGAGAGGUUGGGAUGUAGUUCAGUGGUAGAAUACUUGCCUUGUGUGUUGUUCAGGGCCAGCACUACAGUAAAACAAGCAUGAGCCUUAGACACUCCAAGGUAACCCUUGGUGCCUGGCUUUUGCAUCUCCUUGGUAUUCUCUUGUUCUUUCUUCUCCUUUUGUCCAAAGUCUUCCUCAGUCUAUCACCCAGGAGAGCAGUAGGGAAGGGGCAGAGGGCAGUGUCAAGAUUGAGUAGAACCCUGGGCUGGAGAGAUGGCUCAGUGGUUAAGAGCACUGACUACUCUUCCACAGGUCCUGAGUUCAAUUCCCAGCAACCACAUGGUGGCUCACAACCAUCUGUAAUGAGAUCCGAUGCCCUCUUCUGGUGUGUCUGAAGACAGCUCCAGUGUACGUAUAUAAAUAAAAUAAAUCUUUAAAAAAAAAUUGAGUAGAACCCAAAGAACAUGGCAAACACCUCCUGCCCCAGAGCCAGCUUCCUUGGGCUUGUUUGGCCUGAGAUGAGGGCCCAGGAAUAAAUUUUGCCCCUUUCAGGCAUAGUUAAACAGCAUUCACAUGGGCCCGGGCUAGGCUCAACUUCCUCCAGGAGGGGAAAAAGUAGUGAAUGUUGAGGAGACUCCUCACCAGGACUGAAUUUUAUGUAUUGGCCUCAGUUCCCAUCUAGGGUCACACAAACAAGGACCCUAAGCAAGAAAGAGGAGUAUGUUCCCCACACAAAAGGCAGGACAAGAGUUCUUCAUUGAACAUAAAUGGCUGUUGGGGAUUGGUUCUAAUGCUUUGUCUCAAUUUGGCUCCCAAAAUCACAUGUGAAUCUGCAUGUCCAGAUGCUGAGGAUCUGUGUCCCCAAUUGGUUUUUGAUUAAUCAAUAAAGAGCCAAUAGCCAAUGGGUGAAAGAGGCAGGACUUUUAGGAUUCCCAGGCAAAAACUGCAGAGGACAGAAGGAACAGAAUCACCAUGAUGUAGAAGCAGAGAGAUCAGGUUCAAGAGCUGCAGGAGAGAAAUGAUCCAAUGGCGGUGCAAAGGGAAAGUGGCCCCAUGGGAGGGCUGCCCAGAAGGAAACAGGGCAGCAAAGAUAAAAGACAGAUUUAGAAAACAUAACUCAGGAAUAUCAGAGGGGAGUGUGUGCUAGCCUCAGGGAGGUUUAAAAGUGCCCAAUCAUUGAGCUAGUCAAGGCAUAGCAAAAUAUAAAGGCUGCAUGUACAUGUCUUCUCAUUCUAGAAUCCAGGGCACUCUGGCGGGUGUCAAGAGGUGAGAUCACCUGCCAGGAGCUCAGAGCAGAUUAACAAUUCACCACUACAGAUGGCCACCUCCUUUCUAAGCUUCCAAGAGGCUGGAACCUUUCCCACUUACAAGCAGCAAGACAACUUAUGAGCCAGGUACUUCAGAGGAGACUGGCAGCUACUAAGCUAAGAGACAGCACAGACACUGAGGCCCAGAGAAGUUGCAGGGCUGGACAGAGCAGAGCUUUGGAAUCAGAGGCUGCUCUGGCUUCUGUUGCCAUGGGAAAGAAAUGGAAAGGAAUGUCAGAAUCAGCUGAAUAUUUUACUCUGCAUAGCUGAGUGUGCAGGCCUCCAUGAACGCUGAAUGUGGGUGAAUGGGUUGCUGAGAGACACGAGGGAAGGAAUGAAGAGUGGGUGUCUUGGUAGGUGGAUGGAAGGGCUGGAGAGAUGGCUCAGCGGUUAAGAGAACUGACUGCUCUUCCAGAGGUCCUGAGUUCAAAUCUCAGCAACCACAUGGUGGCUCACAACCAUCUGUAAUGAGAUCUGAUGCCCUCUUCUGAUAUUUCUGGGAAAAAAAAUGGAUGGAAGGGUAAAUGGGUAGAUGCAUGGGAGAUAUUUAGGUACAUGAAUAGAGGGAUGUGUGGGUAGUUGGGUGGGUGGAUAUAUGAAAGACUAUUAGAAGGGUACAAGGAAGAUGGGUGAAUGGGUGGUUAGAUAGUUAGGAGAAAAGUGGAUGGGUAGGUGGAUGACUAGGUAGUAUGGAUAAAUGGAUAGAUGUAUAGCACUCAUCUCUGAGUGAAGCUAGGCCAUGCAGUAUACUGUCAUAUCUUUGACUAAAUGAGAAUACUGAGAAUACUUAUUCAGUAAUUCAAGAUAGCAUAAGAGGAGGUCUAGAGUACAAUCUUAGAAUUCAGACUAGCUGAAUUCCUAUUCAAAUUCUUGUUUUAUGACUAUUUGUCUUAGUUAGGGUUUUACUGCUGUGAGCAAACACCAUGACCAAGUUAAAUCUUAGAAAGGACAUUUAAUUGGGGCUGGCUUACAGGUUCAGAGGUUCAGCCCAUUAUCAUCAAGGUGGGAACAUGGCAGGCAGGCAUGGUGCAGGCAGAGCUCAGAGUUCUGCAUCCUCAUCUGAAGGCUGCUAGUGGAAGACUGGCUUCUAAGCAGCUAGAAUGAGAGUCUUAAAGCCCACACUCACAGUGACACAGCUACUCCAACAAGGCCACACCUGCUUAUGGUGCCACUCCCUGGGCUAAGAAUGUAUAAACCAUCACACUAUUCAUUAUUUUUCUGUUGCUGUGGUAAAAUAUCAUGGCCAUAGGAAACCUUGUGAAGAAAGGGUUUAUUUUGGCUUACUGUUCCAGAGAAACAGAGUCCAGCAAGGCAGGGAAGAACAGCAUGGUGGCAGGAGCAUGAAGGCAGUCUUCAGUCAGGAGGCAGAGAAAUCACAGAAAAAAGCAGGGUGAGGCUAUGAAUUCUUAAUACACACACACACACACACACACACACACACACACACACACACACACACCAGUGCCCAGUGAUGUGCUUCUUCUAGAGGCUUUGUAAGCUCACUGAACAGCACUACCAACUGGGGACCAAGUAUUAAACACCAGAGUCUAUGGAGGAGAUUUUCCAUUCAAAUUGCCACAAUUACUCUAUAGCUGUGUGACCUUGUAAAAGUUACUAAACCAUCCUCAUGAGAAUAAGGUACCAACUCAAGAGGUGGCUAUAGAAUUGCAAGUGCUUAGUAACCAGAAAGAUUGAAAGUUACUAGUAAUAACUUCAUCUCAUGGUUGUUCCCUAUACAGUUUUCUUUGUUAAUAAUAGUAAUAUAACAAUGUUAACUUCCUCCUCUUAAGUUGCCACAACUCAAUAUAAAAGCCAGUGCUCUUAUAGUGGCCCUUAAGGCCUCGUUUCUUUAUUCCUCCAUCUUCUGCCUUUUCUCCUCCUCCUCCUCUUCCUGUCUGUCUGUCUCUCUGUCUGUCUCUGUCUCUGUCUCUCUGUCUCUCUCUGCCUGAACGUGAUAUACAUUGUUUUGACCCACGCCCUUGGACCCUUGGAGCCCACUCCCUGGCAGGCUUCUCCCCAGAGAAUCUCAUUUUCACACCUCAUUUUACUUUAUCACAAAGAUUUGUUAAUCUUUGCUUGAAUGUCUCCUUCAAGAAAGAAAGGCCUUCUUCCCCUCUAAAAUUCUGAAAUUGCACCAUCCAAUAUGUAAUAGCUAGCUUUAAUUGUCAAACUGAUGCAAUCUGUAAUCACCUGAGAAAGUAGUCUUAAUAAGAUCUACAUUGCAUUUACAUGAGGGCAUGUCUGUGGGGUAUGGUCUUGAUUAAGUUAAUUGAUGUGAGAAGAUCCAGCCCACUAUAAGCAGCACUGUUCCCUGGGAAAGGGGUCCUGGACUGUGUUAGAAUAGAGAAACUGAUCUGAGCACAGACAAACAAGCAAGUGAGUGUGUAUGAGCUCGUUCUGCGCUGCUCUUGACUAUGGAAAUGAUGAGAUUAGCUGCUUCAAGCUCCUUACACUGACUUCCCCAUAAUGAUGGCAUGGAAUUAUAAAAUAAAGUAAACCCAUUCUCUC